AAGAACUGCUCUCAGCACUGUGAGGUAUACGGAGGGUGAACGUCUUUCUGUCUUGUUGCUGUAGUGAGGAUCGGGGUGAGGAUUAGUGAUGAGGACUCUACUGAUCUUGGGGGGUCUCGUGGUCUGCGUGCUGCUGGUGACCCCAUCUGAUGGUGGCAAGACGGAGGACCAGGAUGGAGGAGGAGAGGAGAACUCGACGGAUUCUGAAGAGCCGACAGUCCCAGCAGAAUCCAGUUACCCCCAAAGAAGUGACAAAAAUGAGCUGUAAUGUCAG
Long non-coding RNA from Rana temporaria (common frog), 274 nucleotides. RefSeq lists it as uncharacterized. NCBI's taxonomy places the organism in Eukaryota, Metazoa, Chordata, Amphibia, Anura, Ranidae. The record is from RefSeq and is a predicted model, not a curated record. The transcript has 3 exons.